UAUACUCCAUAUAAUUCUUCUUCCCCUCAGCUAUACAAAAAACAAUGGUUUUUUUUUUUCUUCUCAUUUUGCUUCAUCAGUGCCUAUGCCUACUACUACAGGGCUAGGAGAUACCACGAUCCUCACCUCAGAGCUGAUAUGCCGCCACCCCGCAGGGCGCCACGCCGUGGAUCACCAAAGAGGCGCGCACCACCUCACGAUUGAGCGGCGCCACAAAAGUGAAGUAGAGAAGCAAUAUAAUACAAAUAAAUAAGCAGCCCUUUAAUUAAUUUGCAGACUACUUCACAGGAAAGAUUUACUAUUAAUCAUUAUGAAGUAUUAAAACUAUUUCCAGUUCAUCCAUCUAUCUAUCUGCACUUAAUUUAUAUAUAAUAUAUUUAUGCAUAUGCAUGUGGUGUUGUACUUUGUGGAAAAGUAAACGAAUGUAAUCG
Ipomoea triloba (trilobed morning glory) is the source of this 431-nucleotide long non-coding RNA. RefSeq lists it as uncharacterized. NCBI's taxonomy places the organism in Eukaryota, Viridiplantae, Streptophyta, Magnoliopsida, Solanales, Convolvulaceae. The transcript is spliced from 3 exons. The record is from RefSeq and is a predicted model, not a curated record.